This 1032-nucleotide unclassified non-coding RNA is filed under the name Zea mays. Its description in RNAcentral is "misc RNA Zm00001eb318930". Lineage: Eukaryota; Viridiplantae; Streptophyta; Magnoliopsida; Poales; Poaceae. The record is from RNAcentral.
CGUGCGUCUCCGAAUCGGCGCAGCACGGCCGCCCCGUCGACCCUCUCUGCGUGCUCUCCGUUCAUCCGUUGUCGCUCCCCUCCACCUCAUCGAACCUAAGGUGCUCUGCUCGCCGAGGCCACAAGCGCGUUGUUCCAUACCAAGGCAGAGAAAAGACGGAAGGGCGUGUGGAUCGAGAUCAACAACGACGGCGACGACAACCAGAGCGCGAGGAGCAGCACCGUCUCCACCGCCCCACCCCGCACGCCGCCAUUGCCAGGGCUCCCCCACCCCACCCCCGCACGCCAUGACCUCCACAACCCCACCCCCGCGCGCCAUCUCGCCAGGGCUCCCCCACCCCCGCGCGCCGUCUCUCCUGCACCAGCUCUCCCUGCAAUCCCUCCAGCUCUCCCUGUCGUGUCGCCUCCACAGCGCCCACCGAGGUCCCGCUAGUGUGGCCCCCGACCUCGUCGCUCAGUGCUGGCGCGAGAUCGAGGCCAUCGGCCCCACCACACCUCGAUUCGCCAACACCGCCGACCCGGGCGCCUCGCCCUCUGCCUUCGACUCCAACACCGGCUCGUCGCUCGGCCACAUCGGGUGCCUAUGCUCGAUGUAUCGCGCUGCCUCUCUGUCCUCAUUCGUUGCGUCCGUCCUCGGCUUCCUCUUCCGCCUUCCCCGCGAUGCCUCCCCGCGUCAUCGCCCACCAGCAUCAUCGCGCAGGCCUCGCUUGAGACAGACAUGGCAGUGGAUUGGGUGUUUGGUUCUCUUUGCAGUAGCAAUUGGAGGCGAACAGGAAGACACUGUAGAGGCACUCUCGCGCGCUGUUCAACGUAGUGGCAGCAGAGGUGGCAUCAAGGGGCACCGAUGGCGGCAACAUGCUAUCGCAGCGUGUGGCGGAGAGACAGAGGUCAGACCUGGCAAACAGGACAGGGAAGGGGACGUGAUCUCCAUGCAAGAGAACAUGUCUGCCAGGACACUCACGCUCUCUAGCUCCACGCAGCAGACAAUUGUGCGGUUCGUUAAGCUACCAUUGGUUGACAAGAUCACCGCUUG